CAGUCGCCGCGGGAAAACGUAGGUGGCAAGCGUUGUCCGGAAUUAUUGGGCGUAAAGGGCUCGCAGGCGGUUUCUUAAGUCUGAUGUGAAAGCCCCCGGCUCAACCGGGGAGGGUCAUUGGAAACUGGGAAACUUGAGUGCAGAAGAGGAGAGUGGAAUUCCACGUGUAGCGGUGAAAUGCGUAGAGAUGUGGAGGAACACCAGUGGCGAAGGCGACUCUCUGGUCUGUAACUGACGCUGAGGAGCGAAAGCGUGGGGAGCGAACAGGAUUAGAUACCCGUGUAGUCCCUGUCUCUUAUAC
This 301-nucleotide ribosomal RNA is filed under the name uncultured bacterium. Its description in RNAcentral is "partial 16S ribosomal RNA". It matches the Rfam family "Bacterial small subunit ribosomal RNA", at positions 509 to 807 of the family's 1533-position model. The record is from RNAcentral.